CAGUCGCCGCGGUAAUACGUAGGGUGCGAGCGUUAAUCGGAAUUACUGGGCGUAAAGCGUGCGCAGGCGGCUUUGUAAGACAGGCGUGAAAUCCCCGGGCUCAACCUGGGAAUGGCGCUUGUGACUGCAAAGCUAGAGUGCGGCAGAGGGGGAUGGAAUUCCGCGUGUAGCAGUGAAAUGCGUAGAUAUGCGGAGGAACACCGAUGGCGAAGGCAAUCCCCUGGGCCUGCACUGACGCUCAUGCACGAAAGCGUGGGGAGCAAACAGGAUUAGAUACCCCGUGUAGUCCCUGUCUCUUAUC
This 301-nucleotide ribosomal RNA is filed under the name uncultured bacterium. RNAcentral's name for it is "partial 16S ribosomal RNA". It matches the Rfam family "Bacterial small subunit ribosomal RNA", at positions 509 to 808 of the family's 1533-position model. The record is from RNAcentral.